This 245-nucleotide ribosomal RNA is filed under the name uncultured bacterium. RNAcentral's name for it is "partial 16S ribosomal RNA". It matches the Rfam family "Bacterial small subunit ribosomal RNA", at positions 16 to 252 of the family's 1533-position model. The record is from RNAcentral.
GUCCUGGCUCAGGAUGAACGCUAGCUACAGGCUUAACACAUGCAAGUCGAGGGGCAGCGGGAUUGAAGCUUGCUUCAAUUGCCGGCGACCGGCGCACGGGUGAGUAACGUGUAUCCAACCUUCCGUACACUCAGGGAUAGCCUUUCGAAGGAAAGAUUAAUACCUGAUGGUAUCUUAAGCACACAUGUAAUUAAGAUUAAAGAUUUAUCGGUGUACGAUGGGGAUGCGUUCCAUUAGGUAGUAGG